GCCCCGGUAGCUCAGUUGGAUAGAGCAGCGGACUUCUAAUCCGCAGGUCAAAGGUUCGAAUCCUUUCCGGGGUG
RNAcentral lists this transfer RNA (74 nucleotides) under Phycisphaerae bacterium. Its description in RNAcentral is "tRNA-Arg". It matches the Rfam family "tRNA". Rfam says of the family: Transfer RNA (tRNA) molecules are approximately 80 nucleotides in length. The record is from RNAcentral. Lineage: Bacteria; Pseudomonadati; Planctomycetota; Phycisphaerae.